Molecule: ribosomal RNA, 441 nt
Filed under: uncultured bacterium
Lineage: Bacteria
Description: partial 16S ribosomal RNA
Rfam family: Bacterial small subunit ribosomal RNA
Source: RNAcentral
ACUACGGGCGGCAGCAGUGGGGAAUAUUGCACAAUGGGGGAAACCCUGAUGCAGCGACGCCGCGUGAGUGAAGAAGUAUUUCGGUAUGUAAAGCUCUAUCAGCAGGAACGAGACAAGACGGUACCUGACUAAGAAGCCCCGGCUAACUACGUGCCAGCAGUCGCGGUAAUACGUAGGGGGCAAGCGUUAUCCGGAAUCACUGGGUGUAAAGGGAGCGUAGACGGCUGUGCAAGCCUGAAGUGAAAGGCGGGGGCCCAACCCCUGGACUGCUUUGGGAACUGUACGGCUGGAGUGCAGGAGAGGUAAGUGGAAUUCCUAGUGUAGCGGUGAAAUGCGUAGAUAUUAGGAGGAACACCAGUGGCGAAGGCGGCUUACUGGACUGUAACUGACGUUGAGGCUCGAAAGCGUGGGGAGCAAACAGGAUUAGAUACCCCUGUAGUC